Non-coding RNA from Aegilops tauschii subsp. strangulata, 1586 nucleotides. NCBI's taxonomy places the organism in Eukaryota, Viridiplantae, Streptophyta, Magnoliopsida, Poales, Poaceae. The record is from RefSeq and is a predicted model, not a curated record.
CGCUUGGAAACGAGACCCAAAUUCAGUGAUGUAUUCGCUCCCACCAAACCGUCGUUCCACGAUAUGGAGCCUUGGCGCUCCGAUUUGGUCCAAAUUGGCCUUUCCCGCAAAACAUACCCCCUCGCUGCCUUAUCCCCUCCCUCCUCGGGCAAAAAGAAAAGAAGGGGAGGAACAGCGGCGGCCACCAGGGAGCUCGGCCGCCACCACCAGGGAGCUCGGCGGCGAGUCCCACGGAUCUCCGCGGCCGCACCGAGAUCUGUGAACUGUGCGUCAAUCUGCAGGCCAAGUGAAGGUAUAUGGCAGAAAUCCCCUAUGUUUUCUAUGCAUUUGUGCAUGUGAUGUCUUGCUACAAUGUUUUUCAUCCUAGAUAAUCAAAUUGUACAGCUCAAUGUCGGAUCAAUUGGAGUUGGUUGAGUGGAUAAAUGAAGAAAAUAAAAGACGGAAGAGGAAAAGAAUUGUUCUGACUAAAUUGUUUGUUGAAACAUGUGCUCUUGCUUUAGCCUUUGUCACUACACAACGGAAUAGGGGACCAAGGGACAUAGGAACUUUUAAUGAUGAUGAGGACAAGAUUAGGAAUAGGAAAUAUUUGCUUAAAUGCAUGUAUGAUGGAUCUGCAGUGGCAUGCUAUGAUCAAUUGCAGUGGAUAAAUGCUAUUUGUUAUUGUUUCAAAUUUUGUGUUAUGUUAUCGUAAAAAAAUAUUGUUGUCGUUGUAUCACCAUUUGUGUUUCCUGAUGCAUUUCUAGAAUAUUUAAUUAUUUUAUUGCUAUAUAUUCAAUCAUAGUCAGAUUUCAUUUUUUAGUGAUGUAGAACAAGGUACAACCUGGUAAUGUAGCUAUGCAAUUUCAAAGUUUGUCAUCCAAACCAGAUUCUGUAUUGAAAUCUCAGAGGCAUUUCAAGGGCCAAAUCGCCGGACAACCAAACAGAUAAAAACCCGCAAGGACCAAAAAGUACCUGAACCAAAUGUUGUGAAAAUCUUCAAGAAUUGCCACACCAGCAAGACGAAGGGCAUGAAUACAUCAGUCAAGGCCGCUAUUCAAGCUAUGGAACAUAUGGUGAAACCGCCACCUUCUGAAGGUGACGAGACAACUAUAACCGCAAUGUCACCUCUUGCUGCAGUGGGAGCCUAGGAGAAACGAAGGCGAAGGUUAUGGUGCUCCAUCGGACUGUACAACAUGAAAACGUAACAGUCAGGUCAAAUGAACUGAGCUUCUGAACUUCUGGUGGUGCAUUUAUCCGCAAGACUGUUAACUUUGAUGCCAACCUUCCUUUUGUUUUAUGGUUGUAAUUUGUUUUGUUGCGAUACAAAAUUUGUUUUUAACGUGUAGCGGCCGGCUGAAGAAAACAGCAAGCCAUUUUUGUAUAGUGUAGGGUGUUCCCUAUAUUUGCACCGGUGGCGAACUUUGAUGCCCAAUAAAAGUAAUCUGUGCAAUCGCCUUAAUAGUCUAGCGUUAGUUUCUGGCCUAUUUAUUUCCCUAGUCUUCUUUUUUCUUGGUUUGCUAGUGGCCGCAACAACAAUGAGUUACUGGAUUUUGUGAUAGGAGUGAGGGUUAAGUGUGAGCGGGAUGGUGUUGGGGUUGGUAUGUGAA